RNAcentral lists this long non-coding RNA (808 nucleotides) under Carica papaya (papaya). Its description in RNAcentral is "long non-coding RNA (CPAP_LNC014041)". Lineage: Eukaryota; Viridiplantae; Streptophyta; Magnoliopsida; Brassicales; Caricaceae. The record is from RNAcentral.
CGCUUUAUUUUCUCUCGUUUCAUUUUCAUCAUCCAUUUCUCUCUCGUCUCGUUCACUGAACCGUACUAGUGUGCAUUGAUUUUUUUUCUUUUUCAUUUGAGAGAAACAAUCUAGAGCUAGGGUUUUGCUGGUGUUGUUUUUGAGGUUCGAUUGGGGAGCUAUGACGACGUCGUUUGGAACAGCAGCGGCGAGUACUACGGUGAUACAGAACGAUCCGAAGAUUCGGAUUGGUAGCUUCAGCGGUUUGCGAUCUUCGCCUUUGGUUGAUUUGAGCCAAGUUAAACGCGUUGUUUCGCUUCCGUCUGCGAGUUCCUCGCUUAUUAGAGCUGUUUCUACGGUCAGAUUCAUUUCCUUUCUGAUUUCUCUUUUAUUAAGUGUUUCUUCGGCGGGGAGUUGGGGCAGGGGGUUCAUUUACCUGUUCUUCCUUUAAUUAUUUUCAUAUAGUGUAUUCGAAAAGGGAACAAGAGUUUCUUCUGUUGGAUAAUCCCUUGAUUGGGCUAGAAGAAAUGCAAUCGUGCGGGAAAAUAGAAGAAAAAUGUUUUAUGUGGAAACUUUAAUCUUAAUUCUUAUCCAAUAACAGUAAUGUGUUCUGAGGCCUUUAUUUUUUACAUGGAAAUUCUGAAUUUACGUGAUGAAUUUUCUGGGACUUGUUAGCUUGAAUUUGAUUUUGUAUUUUUGCCAUUAAUGGAGAGUAUGGGAAUUCUGGUCGUUUUUGUUUCUUUAUUGUGAAAGGGCACAUGGCGUCUUUGAAGAACUUGAUUUUAUGGUUAUGUUGAUGUUAUGAUUAUUAAUUAUUCAUAAUAAAAGG